AAAACGACACUGGUAUUGCCCUGAGUACGGCGAGUGAAGCGGCGCACCUCAAAUUUGAAAUCUGGCGCGAGCCCAAGUUGUAAUUUGUAGAGGAUGUUUCUGGCGACGUGCCUUCCGGGUUCCCUGGAACGGGACGCCAUAAAGGGUGAGAGCCCCGUACGGUUGGAUGCCUAGCCUCUGUGAAACUCCUUCGGCGAGUCGAGUAGUUUGGGAAUGCUGCUCUAAAUGGGAGGUAUACGUCUUCUAAAGCUAAAUACCGGCCAGAGACCGAUAGCGCACAAGUAGAGUGAUCGAAAGAUGAAAAGCACUUUGAAAAGAGGGUUAAAAAGUACGUGAAAUUGUUGAAAGGGAAGCGUUCAUGACCAGACUUGGGCAGGUUGAUCAUCCGUGGUUCUCCGCGGUGCACUCUGCCUGCCCAGGCCAGCAUCAGUUCGCCCCGGGGGAUAAAGGUUUUGGGAAUGUGGCUCCCUCGGGAGUGUUAUAGCCCACUGCGUAAUACCCUGGGGUGGACUGAGGUUCGCGCUCUGCAAGGAUGCUGGCGUAAUGGUCAUCAACGACCCGUCUUGAAACACGGACCAAGGAGUCGUCUUCGUAUGCGAGUGUUCGGGUGUCAAACCCCUACGCGUAAUGAAAGUGAACGUAGGAGAGAGCUUCGGCGCAUCUCCGACCGAUCCUGAUGUUCUCGGAUGGAUUUGAGUAAGAGCAUACGGGGCCGGACCCGAAAGAAGGUGAACUAUGCCUGUAUAGGGUGAAGCCAGAGGAAACUCUGGUGGAGGCUCGCAGCGGUUCUGACGUGCAAAUCGAUCGUCAAAUAUGGGCAUGGGGGCGAAAGACUAAUCGAACCUUCUAGUAGCUGGUUUCCGCCGAAGUUUCCCUCAGGAUAGCAGUAUUGAACUCAGUUUUAUGAGGUAAAGCGAAUGAUUAGGGACCCGGGGGCGCUAUAUUGCCUUCAUCCAUUCUCAACUUUAAAUAUGUAAGAGCUCUUGUUGCUUAAUUGAACGUGAGCAUUCGAAUGUAUCAAUACUAGUGGGCCAUUUUGUAGCAGAACUGGCGAUGCGGAUGACCGACGCGAGG
Molecule: ribosomal RNA, 1074 nt
Filed under: Cordyceps sp. MSU013
Lineage: Eukaryota; Fungi; Ascomycota; Sordariomycetes; Hypocreales; Cordycipitaceae
Description: eukaryotic LSU rRNA
Rfam family: Eukaryotic large subunit ribosomal RNA
Source: RNAcentral